GGUGAUUGUAAUCUAUAAUAGUGUGUGUCUCCCGCCAAAUACAGCACACGGUUUGUUUGUGAAACCUUUACACAGCAUUAUACUCUUGGAAUUCUAAUGGAGGUCAUGGAAGGCAAUAUUGAGUAUGUAUAUAACGAAGAGGACGUUUCAAAGAAAUAUGAUAUAGGUUACCAAGAUGAUUUCGAUGAGAAGGCUGGCCAGGUGAACAAUCUAUACUAACUCAAAAGAUAGGAAACAUUUCCUGGUUUAGAGAAGAACACCACACAUUUGUUCUCUUGUUGGUUGGGAAAUACAAGUUGACGUUGGAAAGGAAACUUAAUGCUCUACAACAUUUAAAAAACUGUUAUAUAUAGUGCUUCUACAUGUAUGUGUGGGACCCUAAAUGACUCCAACGAGUAUCAGCUAUUACAUCAUGUAUUAGGAGGAUAUGAUCAACAAUAUAUAUAUUUGAGGAUAAGAUUAACAAAUCCUAAAAGUGUGAAUAUUGUACAAAAUUGUCAAUUACAAUAUGCAUAAUAUCUUACUUACUAUAAUAUUUAAAGAAGUGUAACAAAGUUUCCACUUAUGAUUUUUCCAGACGUUUUAAGUCAAAUUAAAUUCCAUUUGUAUCUUUCAGUAAGCAUUCCUAAUUCUAAUUGAACACAUGAAAAAAGUAUUGCUGUUGUAUGUGUGUAUUUAAAGCAGACAGUAGCUACAAAUUAAAAUGUAUUUGAUGUGCUUAAGGGAGUUUAUUAAUGUUUUAUCAAAAUUUGAUGUUAUUGUAAUGAAAAGGUAAGGAAAAUGUUUACCAAUCAUUUGUCAAUUUGUUUUUCUACGAAGACUUUAUAACAAAGGAACAACUCUCACCUCACUGCAAGGCCACCAAGUACGAUUAACUGAGUUCAUUUAUUAUUAUAAUAUUACUUUCAAAUUAAAUGCGGUAUUUUCUUUUCAUACGAUACAUAUGUCUAUGUUUCGUUUUACCUUGUUAACAAUAAUGUCCUUACCAUAAUUCUGAUAGACAUACUAUCAGAUUAUUACAUGGACUUCGGCUCUUGGGCUGAUAUUGAACCUUGGGCUGAUAAUACAUCUGAUAUGAAAAAUGACAUGUUAUGAUAUUUUUAUCAUAUGCUUCAAUAAUGGAGAAAAAUAACAGUUUAAUAUAUUGCUCCGUUUAAGUGGUUCUCAAGUAGAAGUUCAAAAAGUGAAAAUUCUUUAUGAAAUCUUUCUAUCAUAUGCCUCAACAGAGGAGAAAAACAACAGUAUAAUUAUACAUUAUUAUAUUGACGAUAAAAAAAAAUCAACAAAACAUAAUGGACACUAUUAGGAAAAGUCAACAUUUAUAAAGUGACUUUCUAAAUUAUGCUGGAAACUUUAAAAAAUGCAUUUAUUGUAUCACUUGAUUUGUUUUUUG
This is a long non-coding RNA of Mytilus californianus (California mussel), 1393 nucleotides long. RefSeq lists it as uncharacterized. The record is from RefSeq and is a predicted model, not a curated record. The transcript is spliced from 4 exons. Lineage: Eukaryota; Metazoa; Mollusca; Bivalvia; Mytilida; Mytilidae.